This 443-nucleotide ribosomal RNA is filed under the name uncultured bacterium. Its description in RNAcentral is "partial 16S ribosomal RNA". It matches the Rfam family "Bacterial small subunit ribosomal RNA", at positions 338 to 795 of the family's 1533-position model. The record is from RNAcentral.
CCUACGGGAGGCAGCAGUGGGGAAUAUUGGGCAAUGGGCGCAAGCCUGACCCAGCAACGCCGCGUGAAGGAAGAAGGCUCUCGGGUUGUAAACUUCUUUUAUGAGGGACGAAACAAAUGACGGUACCUCAUGAAUAAGCCACGGCUAACUAAGUGCCAGCAGCCGCGGGAAUACGUAGGUGGCAAGCGUCAUGCGGAUUUACUGGGUGUAAAGGGAGCGUAGACGGGAGCGCAAGUCUGGAGUGAAAUCCCAUGGCUUAACCAUGGAACUGCAUGGGAAACUGUGCAGCUUGAGUGCAGGAGAGGUAGGCGGAAUGCCUGGUGUAGCGGUGAAAUGCGUAGAUAUUAGGAGGAACACCGAUGGCGAAGGCAGCUUACUGGACUGUAACUGACGUUGAGGCUCGAAAGCGUGGGGAGCAAACAGGAUUAGAUACCCCAGUAGUC